Molecule: unclassified non-coding RNA, 348 nt
Filed under: soil metagenome
Description: partial contains 5.8S ribosomal RNA, internal transcribed spacer 2, and large subunit ribosomal RNA
Rfam family: 5.8S ribosomal RNA (bases 1-120)
Source: RNAcentral
GAUGAAGAACGUAGUGAAAUGCGAAAAGUAAUGUGAAUUGCAGAAUUCAGUGAAUCAUCGAAUCUUUGAACGCACAUUGCGCCCGCCAGUAUUCUGGCGGGCAUGCCUGUCUGAGCGUCAUUUCAACCCUCAUGCCCCUAGGGCGUGGUGUUGGGGAUCGGCCAGCGCCCGCGAGGGACGGCCGGCCCCUAAAUCUAGUGGCGGACCCGUCGUGGCCUCCCCUGCGAAGUAGUGAUAUUCCGCAUAGGAGAGCGACGAGCCCCUGCCGUUAAACCCCCAACUUUCUAAGGUUGACCUCAGAUCAGGUAGGAAUACCCGCUGAACUUAAGCAUAUCAAUAAGCGGAGGA